GAGGUUGUUAAGAGUAUUAAUGAGUAGUUAGAGGUUGUUGAGAGUAUUAAUGAGUAGUUAGAGGUUGUUAAGAGUAUUAAUGAGUAGUUAGAGGUUGUUAAGAGUAUUAAUGAGUAGUUAGAGGUUGUUGAGAGUAUUAAUGAGUAGUUAGAGGUUGUUGAGAGUAUUAAUGAGUAGUUAGAGGUUGUUGAGAGUAUUAAUGAGUAGUUAGAGGUUGUUGAGAGUAUUAAUGAGUAGUUAGAGGUUGUUGAGAGUAUUUAAUGAGUAGUUAGAGGUUGUUAAGAGUAUUAAUGAGUAGUUAGAGGUUGUUGAGAGUAUUAAUGAGUAGUUAGAGGUUGUUGAGAGUAUUUAAUGAAUAGUUAGAGGUUGUUGAGAGUAUUAAUGAGUAGUUAAUGAACCUAGUGAUAGUGUGACAAGGCUUCUGCAACAUGAACGUGGAAAAAAAAAAAUCCGAUUAAUCUCAUUUGUGGUCUUGUUAACUUUUGAUGUGAGCGCGGAAAGCAUUUGGGUGUAAGGACCUGAAUCACUGGAGGCUGUAAAAAAAAAAAAAAAAA
Eriocheir sinensis (Chinese mitten crab) is the source of this 554-nucleotide long non-coding RNA. RefSeq lists it as uncharacterized. The transcript has 4 exons. NCBI's taxonomy places the organism in Eukaryota, Metazoa, Arthropoda, Malacostraca, Decapoda, Varunidae. The record is from RefSeq and is a predicted model, not a curated record.